UAGAGUUUGAUCCUGGCUCAGGAUGAACGCUGACAGAAUGCUUAACACAUGCAAGUCGAUUCUAUUUACCUUCGGGUAUUGAGGAUGGCGGACGGGUGAGUAACGCGUAAGGAACUUGCCUCUUGGACUGGGACAACUGUUGGAAACGACAGCUAAUACCGGAUAUUAUGAGAUUCUCGCAUGAGAAACUUAUGAAAGCUAUAUGCGCCAAGAGAGAGCCUUGCGUUCCAUUAGCUAGUUGGUGGGGUAAUGGCCCACCAAGGCGACGAUGGAUAGCCGGCCUGAGAGGGUGAACGGCCACAAGGGGACUGAGACACGGCCCUUACUCCUACGGGAGGCAGCAGUGGGGAAUAUUGGACAAUGGGCCACAAGCCUGAUCCAGCAAUUCUGUGUGCACGAUGAAGGUCUUCGGAUUGUAAAGUGCUUUCAGUUGGGAAGAAGAAAGUGACGGUACCAACAGAAGAAGCGACGGCUAAAUACGUGCCAGCAGCCGCGGUAAUACGUAUGUCGCAAGCGUUAUCCGGAUUUAUUGGGCGUAAAGCGCGUCUAGGCGGAAAAAUAAGUCUGAUGUUAAAAUGCGGGGCUCAACUCCGUAUUGCGUUGGAAACUGUUUUUCUAGAGUACUGGAGAGGUGGGCGGAACUACAAGUGUAGAGGUGAAAUUCGUAGAUAUUUGUAGGAAUGCCGAUGGAGAAGUCAGCUCACUGGACAGAUACUGACGCUGAAGCGCGAAAGCGUGGGGAGCAAACAGGAUUAGAUACCCUGGUAGUCCACGCCGUA
This 779-nucleotide ribosomal RNA is filed under the name uncultured bacterium. RNAcentral describes it as "bacterial SSU rRNA". It matches the Rfam family "Bacterial small subunit ribosomal RNA", at positions 1 to 804 of the family's 1533-position model. The record is from RNAcentral.